RNAcentral lists this long non-coding RNA (390 nucleotides) under Pan troglodytes (chimpanzee). RNAcentral describes it as "lincRNA". Lineage: Eukaryota; Metazoa; Chordata; Mammalia; Primates; Hominidae. The record is from RNAcentral.
GCAACAACAGCCAGAAGGACCCACCCACAGGAGCUUAAACUGGAGCAGUGGCAUGAGGUGGACAGCAGGACAAGGUGAAGAAAGUUCCAGUUUUCUGACUGGAGGAUUGAAAUGGGGAGCUCCAGCACAUCUGAAAAGUGCCAGGACAUCGUGGAGGAAAAGGAGCUCAGAACACCAGGACAUCGUGGAGGAAAAGGAGCUCAGAACACCAAAUCCAUGAAGCUGUUUAUGAACAUCUGGGCUCACCUCUGAACUAUGCAUGCAUAGAUCUGACUUGAAACAUAUGUACAAUUUUCAUAAGACUUAAACAAGACCUCGAAUACUGUACCAUAAUAUUCAAAUUGUCCAACAUACAAUCCAAAAUUACUUAAUAUAAGGCCAGGCACAGUA